Molecule: small nuclear RNA, 102 nt
Organism: Nomascus leucogenys (northern white-cheeked gibbon)
Lineage: Eukaryota; Metazoa; Chordata; Mammalia; Primates; Hylobatidae
Source: Rfam
UCAGUCUCAAAAAAAAAAAAAAAAGGUUGCUUGAUACAGAGAAUAUUAGCAUGGCCCCUGCCCAAGAUUGACAUGCAAAUUUGUAAAGCAUUCUAUAUUAAA